GUGAAUCAUCGAAUCUUUGAACGCAAAUUGCACUCUCUGGUAUUCCGGAGAGUAUGCCUGUUUGAGGGUCAUUAUAAAUAAAAUUCGUUGUAUUGCUUAUGGGGACGCAAUCGGAGUUGUCUCAUCUUUGAUCUUGCUAAAAGUUUAAGAUGACCUAAUAUUGAUGAUACCUUGUACAUCUCAAGACAUCCAU
RNAcentral lists this unclassified non-coding RNA (193 nucleotides) under Glomeromycota sp. RNAcentral's name for it is "partial contains 5.8S ribosomal RNA and internal transcribed spacer 2". The stretch from base 1 to 71 matches the Rfam family "5.8S ribosomal RNA", at positions 84 to 154 of the family's 154-position model. The record is from RNAcentral. Lineage: Eukaryota; Fungi; Glomeromycota.